This 88-nucleotide transfer RNA is filed under the name Rhodopseudomonas palustris. Its description in RNAcentral is "tRNA-Leu". It matches the Rfam family "tRNA". From Rfam's summary of the family: Transfer RNA (tRNA) molecules are approximately 80 nucleotides in length. Their secondary structure includes four short double-helical elements and three loops (D, anti-codon, and T loops). Further hydrogen bonds mediate the characteristic L-shaped molecular structure. tRNAs have two regions of fundamental functional importance: the anti-codon, which is responsible for specific mRNA codon recognition, and the 3' end, to which the tRNAs corresponding amino acid is attached (by aminoacyl-tRNA synthetases). tRNAs cope with the degeneracy of the genetic code in two manners: having more than one tRNA (with a specific anti-codon) for a particular amino acid; and 'wobble' base-pairing, i.e. permitting non-standard base-pairing at the 3rd anti-codon position. Lineage: Bacteria; Pseudomonadati; Pseudomonadota; Alphaproteobacteria; Hyphomicrobiales; Nitrobacteraceae. The record is from RNAcentral. RNAcentral also lists the same sequence under 1 other name.
GCGGGCGUGGCGAAACUGGUAAACGCAACGGACUUAAAAUCCGUCAGCUUUCAAGGCUUUGCGGGUUCAAGUCCCGCCGCCCGCACCA